Molecule: ribosomal RNA, 1486 nt
Filed under: Vibrio vulnificus
Lineage: Bacteria; Pseudomonadati; Pseudomonadota; Gammaproteobacteria; Vibrionales; Vibrionaceae
Description: partial 23S ribosomal RNA
Rfam family: Bacterial large subunit ribosomal RNA
Source: RNAcentral
GGUUAAGUGACUAAGCGUACACGGUGGAUGCCUUGGCAGUCAGAGGCGAUGAAGGACGUAGUAACUUGCGAUAAGCGUAGAUGAGGCAGUAACAGCCACUUGAGUCUACGAUUUCCGAAUGGGGAAACCCACUGGCAUAAGCCAGUAUCAUUGAGUGAAUACAUAGCUCAAUGAAGCGAACCGGGAGAACUGAAACAUCUAAGUACCCCGAGGAAAAGAAAUCAACCGAGAUUCCGAAAGUAGCGGCGAGCGAAAUUGGAUUAGCCCUUAAGCUUUACAUGUGUUAGACGAACGGUCUGGAAAGUCCGACGAUACAGGGUGAUAGUCCCGUAGUUGUAGAUGCAUGUUCAGUGAAAUCGAGUAGGGCGGGACACGUGUUAUCCUGUCUGAAUAUGGGGGGACCAUCCUCCAAGGCUAAAUACUCCUGACUGACCGAUAGUGAACCAGUACCGUGAGGGAAAGGCGAAAAGAACCCCUGUGAGGGGAGUGAAAUAGAACCUGAAACCGUGUACGUACAAGCAGUAGGAGCACCUUCGUGGUGUGACUGCGUACCUUUUGUAUAAUGGGUCAGCGACUUAUAUUCAGUGGCAAGGUUAACCAUCUAGGGGAGCCGUAGGGAAACCGAGUCUUAACUGGGCGCCAUAGUCUCUGGAUAUAGACCCGAAACCGAGUGAUCUAGCCAUGGGCAGGUUGAAGGUUGAGUAACAUCAACUGGAGGACCGAACCGACUAAUGUUGAAAAAUUAGCGGAUGACUUGUGGCUAGGGGUGAAAGGCCAAUCAAACUCGGAGAUAGCUGGUUCUCCCCGAAAGCUAUUUAGGUAGCGCCUCGGACGAAUACUACUGGGGGUAGAGCACUGUUAAGGCUAGGGGGUCAUCCCGACUUACCAACCCUUUGCAAACUCCGAAUACCAGUAAGUACUAUCCGGGAGACACACGGCGGGUGCUAACGUCCGUCGUGGAGAGGGAAACAACCCAGACCGCCAGCUAAGGUCCCAAAUUACAGCUAAGUGGGAAACGAUGUGGGAAGGCUUAGACAGCUAGGAUGUUGGCUUAGAAGCAGCCAUCAUUUAAAGAAAGCGUAAUAGCUCACUAGUCGAGUCGGCCUGCGCGGAAGAUGUAACGGGGCUAAGUUGUAAACCGAAGCUGCGGCAAUGUUCUUUGAACAUUGGGUAGGGGAGCGUUCUGUAAGCCGUUGAAGGUGUGUUGUAAAGCAUGCUGGAGGUAUCAGAAGUGCGAAUGCUGACAUGAGUAACGACAAGGGGGGUGAAAAACCUCCCCGCCGGAAGACCAAGGGUUCCUGUCCAACGUUAAUCGGGGCAGGGUAAGUCGACCCCUAAGGCGAGGCCGAAAGGCGUAGUCGAUGGGAAACGGGUUAAUAUUCCCGUACUUCUUACAAUUGCGAUGGGGGGACGGAGAAGGCUAGGUGGGCCUGGCGACGGUUGUCCAGGUUCAAGUGCGUAGGCUGAGUGUUUAGGUAAAUCCGGA